AACGAACGCUGGCGGCAUGCCUAACACAUGCAAGUCGAACGAGACCUUCGGGUCUAGUGGCGCACGGGUGCGUAACGCGUGGGAACCUGCCCUUAGGUUCGGAAUAACUCCCCGACAGGGGUGCUAAUACCGGAUAAUGUCUUCGGACCAAAGAUUUAUCGCCUUUGGAUGGGCCCGCGUUGGAUUAGCUAGUUGGUAGGGUAAAAGCCUACCAAGGCGACGAUCCAUAGCUGGUCUGAGAGGAUGAUCAGCCACACUGGGACUGAGACACGGCCCAGACUCCUACGGGAGGGAGCAGUGGGGAAUAUAGGACAAUGGGGGAAAGCCUGAUCCAGCAAUGCCGCGUGAGUGAUGAAGGCCUUAGGGUUGUAAAGCUCUUUUACCCGGGAUGAUAAUGACAGUACCGGGAGAAUAAGCUCCGGCUAACUCCGUG
RNAcentral lists this ribosomal RNA (433 nucleotides) under uncultured bacterium. Its description in RNAcentral is "partial 16S ribosomal RNA". It matches the Rfam family "Bacterial small subunit ribosomal RNA", at positions 29 to 507 of the family's 1533-position model. The record is from RNAcentral.